This 103-nucleotide transfer RNA is filed under the name Neurospora terricola FGSC 1889. RNAcentral describes it as "tRNA-Und (NNN) (tRNA-Und-NNN-9-1)". It matches the Rfam family "tRNA". From Rfam's summary of the family: Transfer RNA (tRNA) molecules are approximately 80 nucleotides in length. Their secondary structure includes four short double-helical elements and three loops (D, anti-codon, and T loops). Lineage: Eukaryota; Fungi; Ascomycota; Sordariomycetes; Sordariales; Sordariaceae. The record is from RNAcentral.
GCGCGGUUAGUUUAAUGGUCAGAAUAUCGCUCCGUAAGACCGGAAGGAGGAUGGCACCCCCCGGCAAGAGCGAAGACACGGGUUCGAUUCCCGGACCGUCGCC